GGGCUGGGUUCAGCAGCACAUAUACUGAAAUUGCUAUGAUACGUAGAAGAUUAGCAUGGCCCCUGCUCAAGGAUAAGACACACAAUUGUGAAAUGUCCCAUAUUUUA
Small nuclear RNA from Phyllostomus discolor (pale spear-nosed bat), 107 nucleotides. The record is from RefSeq and is a predicted model, not a curated record. Lineage: Eukaryota; Metazoa; Chordata; Mammalia; Chiroptera; Phyllostomidae.